CCUACGGGUGUCAGCAGUGGGGAAUAUUGGACAAUGGGCGAAAGCCUGAUCCAGCCAUGCCGCGUGUGUGAAGAAGGCCUUCGGGUUGUAAAGCACUUUCAGUGGGGAAGAAAGCCUUGGGGCUAAUACCCUCGAGGAAGGACAUCACCCACAGAAGAAGCACCGGCUAACUCCGUGCCAGCAGCCGCGGUAAUACGGAGGGUGCGAGCGUUAAUCGGAAUUACUGGGCGUAAAGCGCGCGUAGGCGGUCUGAUAAGCCGGUUGUGAAAGCCCCGGGCUCAACCUGGGAACGGCAUCCGGAACUGUCAGGCUAGAGUGCAGGAGAGGAAGGUAGAAUUCCCGGUGUAGGAGUGAAAUGCGUAGAGAUCGGGAGGAAUACCAGUGGCGAAGGCGGCCUUCUGGACUGACACUGACGCUGAGGUGCGAAAGCGUGGGUAGCAAACAGGAUUAGAUACCCCUGUAGUC
Molecule: ribosomal RNA, 465 nt
Filed under: Vreelandella stevensii
Lineage: Bacteria; Pseudomonadati; Pseudomonadota; Gammaproteobacteria; Oceanospirillales; Halomonadaceae
Description: partial 16S ribosomal RNA
Rfam family: Bacterial small subunit ribosomal RNA
Source: RNAcentral